AUUGAACGCUGGCGGCAGGCCUAACACAUGCAAGUCGAGCGGAUGAAGGGAGCUUGCUCCUGGAUUCAGCGGCGGACGGGUGAGUAAUGCCUAGGAAUCUGCCUGGCAUUGGGGGAUAACGUCCCGAAACGGGCGCUAAUACCGCAUACGUCCUGAGGUAGAAAGUGGGGGAUCUUCGGACCUCACGCUAUCAGAUGAGCCUAGGUCGGAUUAGCUAGUUGGUGGGGUAAAGGCCUACCAAGGCGACGAUCCGUAACUGGUCUGAGAGGAUGAUCAGUCACACUGGAACUGAGACACGGUCCAGACUCCUACGGGAGGCAGCAGUGGGGAAUAUUGGGCAAUGGGCGAAAGCCUGAUCCAGCAAUGCCGCGUGUGUGAAGAAGGUCUUCGGAUUGUAAAGCACUUUAAGUUGGGAGGAAGGGCAGUAAGUUAAUACCUUGCUGUUUUGACGGUACCAACAGAAUAAGCACCGGCUAACUUCGUG
Molecule: ribosomal RNA, 484 nt
Filed under: uncultured bacterium
Lineage: Bacteria
Description: partial 16S ribosomal RNA
Rfam family: Bacterial small subunit ribosomal RNA
Source: RNAcentral